This 65-nucleotide transfer RNA is filed under the name Mirhipipteryx andensis. Its description in RNAcentral is "tRNA-Leu". The record is from RNAcentral. Lineage: Eukaryota; Metazoa; Arthropoda; Insecta; Orthoptera; Ripipterygidae.
UCUAAUAUGGCAGAAUAGUGCAGUAGAUUUAAGCUCUACAAAUAAAGAUUUUUCUUUUAUUAGAA